GAUGAACGCUGGCGGCGUGCCUAAUACAUGCAAGUCGAGCGAACGGACGAGAAGCUUGUUUCUCUGAUGUUAGCGGCGGACGGGUGAGUAACACGUGGAUAACCUACCUAUAAGACUGGGAUAACUUCGGGAAACCGUAGCUAAUACCGGAUAAUAUUUUGAACCGCAUGGUUCAAAAGUGAAAGACGGUCUUGCUGUCACUUAUAGAUGGAUCCGCUCUGCAUUAGCUAGUUGGUAAGGUAACGGCUUACCAAGGCAACGAUGCAUAGCCGACCUGAGAGGGUGAUCGGCCACACUGGAACUGAGACACGGUCCAGACUCCUACGGGAGGCAGCAGUAGGGAAUCUUCCGCAAUGGGCGAAAGCCUGACGGAGCAACGCCGCGUGAGUGAUGAAGGUCUUCGGAUCGUAAAACUCUGUUAUUAGGGAAGAACAUAUGUGUAAGUAACUGUGCACAUCUUGACGGUACCUAAUCAGAAAGCCACGGCUAACUACGUG
This 497-nucleotide ribosomal RNA is filed under the name uncultured bacterium. Its description in RNAcentral is "partial 16S ribosomal RNA". It matches the Rfam family "Bacterial small subunit ribosomal RNA", at positions 28 to 507 of the family's 1533-position model. The record is from RNAcentral.